Molecule: ribosomal RNA, 74 nt
Filed under: Pseudoalteromonas sp. SR45-6
Lineage: Bacteria; Pseudomonadati; Pseudomonadota; Gammaproteobacteria; Alteromonadales; Pseudoalteromonadaceae
Also listed under: 5 other names
Description: partial 16S ribosomal RNA
Rfam family: Bacterial small subunit ribosomal RNA
Source: RNAcentral
UGAUUCAUGACUGGGGUGAAGUCGUAACAAGGUAGCCCUAGGGGAACCUGGGGCUGGAUCACCUCCUUAUACGA